RNAcentral lists this signal recognition particle RNA (99 nucleotides) under Ilumatobacteraceae bacterium. Its description in RNAcentral is "signal recognition particle sRNA small type". It matches the Rfam family "Bacterial small signal recognition particle RNA". Rfam says of the family: The signal recognition particle (SRP) is a universally conserved ribonucleoprotein involved in the co-translational targeting of proteins to membranes. Archaeal SRP consists of a 7S RNA and homologues of the eukaryotic SRP19 and SRP54 proteins. Lineage: Bacteria; Bacillati; Actinomycetota; Acidimicrobiia; Acidimicrobiales; Ilumatobacteraceae. The record is from RNAcentral. RNAcentral also lists the same sequence under 1 other name.
GGUCGGGUCCUGUGCGACACGAACCCGUGAAUCAGGUCAGGGCCGGAAGGCAGCAGCCUUCAGCGGUUUUACGUGUGUGCCGCAGACCGCCUGGCCGUU